AAAAAUAUCUUAAGACGUUAAGCGCCAAGCCUGUUUUGUCUUCCUUUCCAUUGAGCCCGCGAUAUCUGAUUUCACCAAUAAGCUGGCGGCACCAGUGACUGACCGGUCCAGAUGGGAAGUAUAGUGUCAGUCACCGGGGACUGACAUGGUGCUUAACGCGUUAAGAAAAUUGCUAUAAGAAAAUUAUUGUAAUGUAGCUUCACAGACUAAGGAAAAUUGUCCAAAUAGAUCACUAUCUGCUAAAGCUAAUAAUUCAGCAGGUCUUGUGUGCUAUAAAAUUGUCCCAUUAUCCUAAUGACUAACAACAUCAGCAUUGAAAAGGUGGUCCAGGCUGGCAGAGGAGCACGCCAGUUGCCUAAGGAACUGUCUGUCCUGCCUGCCUGGCACCAAAGCCCAACAUAAUGAGAAGACUAAACUUUGAUGGGUCAAAAGGAAAUAAUUAACGAGGCUACUUUGUGUCCACAAUACUGAAAGCCAAGUAAAAAGAUUUUAAAGAGAGAUCAUCUGGUGGUACAUUAGGAAGACUGUUAUCCUGUAGUGAGAAAACAGAACUUCAGAAAUGAAAUGAUCAUUAACAUGAAAGAUGUUCAGAAUUAACAGGCUCAGAUGAAACACUGCCACACUGGACAAAGGUGGAACACAGUUACCAUAUAACCCAACAACUCUAUUCCUAGGCAUACACACACAAGAGCUCAUUGAAGUCCCGAAUAUUCUGCAAAGUAGCCGAGUCCCAGCCCUUCGGUGACUGUCUUCUGACAGGAGCCUGCACCCGAUGCCGCGCCAUAUCAAAUAUGUCCAUGGGGCUCCUUUCUCUUUUCCUGUAAGUGAC
This is a long non-coding RNA of Myotis lucifugus (little brown bat), 829 nucleotides long. RefSeq lists it as uncharacterized. The record is from RefSeq and is a predicted model, not a curated record. The transcript has 4 exons. NCBI's taxonomy places the organism in Eukaryota, Metazoa, Chordata, Mammalia, Chiroptera, Vespertilionidae.